UCCUCUUAUUGAAAAAGCCCUCCGAUAAGAAAUCGUGAGGUGACAUCUUUCGUGAUGCAAGUACAUGUGGACCAACAGGAAGUUGUGACUGCUGCCUUUCGACUCUGAUGGGAAGCGUGCUUGUUUUGGUCGUUGGCUUUCCCAUAUAUAAAGGAGCUUAUGUGCCGCUCUGUGGAGUUUCAUGAGCCAUGGAGAAAAGUGUGUUAGUACUCCUGUUGUGUCUUCAGGCCUUCCUGUUCAUCCCCGCGUUAGACGCGGCCGACGCCGCGCCUUGGUUGACGGGCAUUCGGCAACGAAAUCCGGGAAGAGCCAAACCAAAAAGAAGACCAUGGUUUGGAUAUAAUCGAUACUGUUACCUGAGACCAGGAGCAUGCUCUCUGUUGGUAAAGGUAUGAAGAUAUUCUUGAAGUUGUCUUGUACCAAGGAGUAUUGGAGCGCACUGAAAAGAAAAAAAACAACACAUC
Hippocampus comes (tiger tail seahorse) is the source of this 464-nucleotide long non-coding RNA. RefSeq lists it as uncharacterized. The transcript has 2 exons. NCBI's taxonomy places the organism in Eukaryota, Metazoa, Chordata, Actinopteri, Syngnathiformes, Syngnathidae. The record is from RefSeq and is a predicted model, not a curated record.